RNAcentral lists this ribosomal RNA (254 nucleotides) under uncultured bacterium. RNAcentral's name for it is "partial 16S ribosomal RNA". It matches the Rfam family "Bacterial small subunit ribosomal RNA", at positions 524 to 776 of the family's 1533-position model. The record is from RNAcentral.
CACGUAGGGGGCAAGCGUUGUCCGGAUUUAUUGGGCGUAAAGAGCUCGUAGGUGGCUUAGUAAGUCGGGUGUGAAACCUCCAGGCUCAACCUGGAGACGCCACCCGAUACUGCUAUAGCUUGAGUCCGGUAGGGGAGCGUGGAAUUCCUGGUGUAGCGGUGAAAUGCGCAGAUAUCAGGAGGAACACCAAUGGCGAAGGCAGCUCGCUGGGACGUGACUGACGCUGAGACGCGAAAGCGUGGGGAGCGAACAGG